GGACGUUGACCGAGCUUGGAGAUGGGUGCCGGCUGUUCGGUGGAGGCCUUGCGCGGAGGAAAGGCUGGCUGAACCGACAAAACUCAGUGGAAUCUCUCACAGACGAAGACGCAAGCUGAGCCAAAGACACGCGGCUGAAGACUUCGCUGGCUUGUGGUCAACACCUGGGUUUCGCUUGUAGUGGGAUUAACCCAGUAAAUUCGAAGACACGACACGGUAGUUUCGGUGGAGCUGCAAGUGAUGGCUUCGGUCGAAGAUAAAUGAAGGAAAGAAGACUUGGAGUCUUCGGUGAACUGCAGGGGCGCACGAUGGAGUUCGGUGGAGAGGAGGGACGCGCGGCUGCUCCUUCCGCUGGCUUCUUCCUUGCCAGAUGGUGGUGUGAGAAAAAUGAGAGGGGGAGAGAUUAUUAUCGCCGGUUGAGGGAGUGAGAGAG
Molecule: long non-coding RNA, 433 nt
Filed under: Eucalyptus grandis
Lineage: Eukaryota; Viridiplantae; Streptophyta; Magnoliopsida; Myrtales; Myrtaceae
Description: long non-coding RNA (EGRA_LNC002848)
Source: RNAcentral